This 116-nucleotide ribosomal RNA is filed under the name Pteropus alecto (black flying fox). Lineage: Eukaryota; Metazoa; Chordata; Mammalia; Chiroptera; Pteropodidae. The record is from RNAcentral.
GUCUAUGGCCAUGCCACCCUGAACAAGCCUGAUAUCUGAUCUCGGAAGCUAAGCAGGGUCGGGCCUGGUUAGUACUUGGAUGGGAGACCACCUAGGAAGACCAGGUGCUGUAGGCA